This is a small nucleolar RNA of Ornithorhynchus anatinus (platypus), 138 nucleotides long. The record is from RefSeq and is a predicted model, not a curated record. Lineage: Eukaryota; Metazoa; Chordata; Mammalia; Monotremata; Ornithorhynchidae.
GCCCUCUCGGGAUUGCACCUGGAGAGUUUCCAAUACUCGACCAGUCUCGGCUAUGGGAGGGAGAGUCAAGCAGAGGGGUGCCCAUUCCAUUCCUAACUUGGGCAGAGGAUAGCGAGUGGAAGGCAAUCUGCCACAAGU